This 484-nucleotide ribosomal RNA is filed under the name uncultured bacterium. Its description in RNAcentral is "partial 16S ribosomal RNA". It matches the Rfam family "Bacterial small subunit ribosomal RNA", at positions 29 to 507 of the family's 1533-position model. The record is from RNAcentral.
AUUGAACGCUGGCGGCAGGCCUAACACAUGCAAGUCGAGCGGAUGAAGGGAGCUUGCUCCUGGAUUCAGCGGCGGACGGGUGAGUAAUGCCUAGGAAUCUGCCUGGUAGUGGGGGAUAACGUCCGGAAACGGGCGCUAAUACCGCAUACGUCCUGAGGGAGAAAGUGGGGGAUCUUCGUACCUCACGCUAUCAGAUGAGCCUAGGUCGGAUUAGCUAGUUGGUGGGGUAAAGGCCUACCAAGGCGACGAUCCGUAACUGGUCUGAGAGGAUGAUCAGUCAGACUGGAACUGAGACACGGUCCAGACUCCUACGGGAGGCAGCAGUGGGGAAUAUUGGGCGAUGGGGGAAAGGGGGAUACAGCCAAGCCGGGUGUGUGAAGAAGGUCUUCGGAUUCGAAAGGACAGUAAGUUGGGAGAAAGGGAAGUAAGGUAAUAACUUGCUGUUUUGACGGUACCAACAGAAUAAGCACCGGCUAACUACGUG